Molecule: transfer RNA, 85 nt
Filed under: Felis catus (domestic cat)
Lineage: Eukaryota; Metazoa; Chordata; Mammalia; Carnivora; Felidae
Rfam family: tRNA
About the family: Transfer RNA (tRNA) molecules are approximately 80 nucleotides in length. Their secondary structure includes four short double-helical elements and three loops (D, anti-codon, and T loops). Further hydrogen bonds mediate the characteristic L-shaped molecular structure. tRNAs have two regions of fundamental functional importance: the anti-codon, which is responsible for specific mRNA codon recognition, and the 3' end, to which the tRNAs corresponding amino acid is attached (by aminoacyl-tRNA synthetases). tRNAs cope with the degeneracy of the genetic code in two manners: having more than one tRNA (with a specific anti-codon) for a particular amino acid; and 'wobble' base-pairing, i.e. permitting non-standard base-pairing at the 3rd anti-codon position.
Source: Rfam by way of RNAcentral
GCUCGGGUGGCUCAGUCGGUUAAGCGUCUGACUUCAGCUCAGGUCGCAAUUUCACGGCCUGUGGGUUUGAGCCCCACAUCGGGCU